RNAcentral lists this unclassified non-coding RNA (411 nucleotides) under Scolecobasidium tshawytschae. Its description in RNAcentral is "Ochroconis tshawytschae partial internal transcribed spacer region". The stretch from base 1 to 46 matches the Rfam family "Eukaryotic small subunit ribosomal RNA", at positions 1786 to 1831 of the family's 1831-position model. Lineage: Eukaryota; Fungi; Ascomycota; Dothideomycetes; Venturiales; Sympoventuriaceae. The record is from RNAcentral.
AAGUCGUAACAAGGUUUCCGUAGGUGAACCUGCGGAAGGAUCAUUACUGAGUGGCUGGCGCCGCCUCUGCGUUGCGAGAGCGCGCGGGGGGGAGAGCGGUUACCCGACCUUUUGUCAUUUGGGCUGGCGGCUGUUUUCCAGGCUGGGGGCUUCUGGGCUGGGGUUCCCGAGUGGGAGGACCAGACUGGGGGGUUCCAGGGUGGAGACAGGCGGCGGCAUGUUCAGGUUCGGCGGAGGAGGCAGGGGCUGGCCGAGGUUGACCGGAUGGAUGGAAAGAUCGAUCGGGUUGACUGCGGGAGAGGCGACCUGCCCGCCGCCGGUGGGAUUACCAACUCUUUGUUAGCAAGGUGAAGUCUGAGGAAGCAAGAAAACGAAAAAGCAAAACUUUCAACAACGGAUCUCUUGGCUCUG